UUUAAGAAAGCUGAUUAUGGAAUGGAAGGGAUCUAUCUCUCCAUCUAUCUCCAAGGAAGCAAGAGAUGGAGAUCGAGAGGGAGUGAGACUGUGAGAGUGAUUGAGCCUUGGAUUCCACUGAGGAGUCCCUUAGAACUAAUAUGAGGAUCCAAAAGCAUUCUCAGAUCUCCCCAAUCUCCUUCUCGCAGUGUCCCACCGAUGUGUGCAGCAGCAGCAGAAGCAGAAGAAGAGUGGGUCUUGAGACAUAUGUGUGUGAGCUCAAUAGGUCUCCUUGGGAUGUGAUGGCCUUCUUUCCCCAAACGGACGUCCCUUAGUCUUACCAGAAGACGAAUACCUUUACCACCAGGUUUUCUUUCUUUAGAUCGAUCGGCAAAAAUGCCCUCUCCUGAGUCCUGACUCAUCCCUUGCGCGACGACCAAAAACGUCUUACUUUAUCCGUCUCUGUAUUAUUUUACAUUUGGCGUCUAGGGUUUCCGUGUUUGCGACUGUCUGUUCUCGGCCGCGUUGGAAUUUGAGUAAACCCUAAGUCCCAUUGUUUUCAUAUUAAUUUCUCUUGGUUCACCUGAGGGUAUCGUUGCAGGAAUUGGAAGCGCGGCCCAAUGCCCUGUCGCUGUGGAGAGGAAGAGAGAGCAACAAUUGAAAGAAGGAAUGGCGAGCUGCAACAAGACGAAGUGUAUGAGAGAGGCGAAAGAAGGGCAUUCGUUGUGCGAGCAGCACCUCACGCAGCUUAGGUCCUGCUCUUACCACCACAAUCCCAUCCACUCUUCAACCACCAAGAAAUCUUCUAACAGAGUUGUGGCGUCGUCGACAUUGUCUGAGUUCUAUUACUAUUCUGGGUUUGGUGGGCCUCUAUGGGGGAAGAAGAGGGGAGGAGCUGUAGCAGCAGGUGGAACAGUAAGAGUUGCAAGAACAGAUAGCCAGAAGAAAGAGAGAAAGUGAGUUGUUUCUGGAGAAUCUGUGCCUUCCCCUCCUCAAAUCACUGCCCCAUUAUCUUCACCAUCUUCAUCCCAUCUUGAUAAUUAUCUUAAUGGUAAGGCCGAUGACGUUGAUUCCAUUUACGAAGGCGAUAUUAGAAGGAAGAGAGUUCGUAAGCCGGUGAAAGCUAGGUCGCUUAAAUCUCUUCUUUGAAUGAUAGAAAGGUUUCUCAGAGGUGUGACUCGGGAAUAUAAAACUUUUUUUUUUUUUUUAAGAUGAAAUAUAUAAAGUUUGAGAAAGAAAAAGAAAAUAAAAGAAAAGAAAAGAAAAGAAAAGGGCAUUUGAUGAUGUACUCCACUUUUAUAGUUUAUUAUUGUGGUCAACCUCAACCAUCGCAUCGUGUUUUGGUUGAACUAUUCUAACUUUAGAAAACUAUUAUGAUCUUUUUUUUUUUUUUUUUUUACGACGGGGUUAACAUUAUGAUCUUUUUAUGGUAUUAGUAUCGGACACAUAUCGGGAUUGAUACUGUUA
This is a long non-coding RNA of Macadamia integrifolia, 1446 nucleotides long. RefSeq lists it as uncharacterized. The transcript is spliced from 2 exons. NCBI's taxonomy places the organism in Eukaryota, Viridiplantae, Streptophyta, Magnoliopsida, Proteales, Proteaceae. The record is from RefSeq and is a predicted model, not a curated record.